CACGGGGGGCCUACGGGAGGCAGCAGUGGGGAAUAUUGGACAAUGGGCGAAAGCCUGAUCCAGCCAUGCCGCGUGUGUGAAGAAGGUCUUCGGAUUGUAAAGCACUUUAAGUUGGGAGGAAGGGUAGUAACUUAAUACGUUGCUACUUUGACGUUACCGACAGAAUAAGCACCGGCUAACUUCGUGCCAGCAGGCGCGGUAAUA
Molecule: ribosomal RNA, 204 nt
Filed under: uncultured bacterium
Lineage: Bacteria
Description: partial 16S ribosomal RNA
Rfam family: Bacterial small subunit ribosomal RNA
Source: RNAcentral